GAUGUAGCUCAGAUGGUAGAGCGCUCGCUUAGCAUGCGAGAAGUUCGGGGAUCGAUACCCCGCAUCUCCA
RNAcentral lists this transfer RNA (70 nucleotides) under Spirodela intermedia. Its description in RNAcentral is "tRNA-Ala". It matches the Rfam family "tRNA". From Rfam's summary of the family: Transfer RNA (tRNA) molecules are approximately 80 nucleotides in length. Their secondary structure includes four short double-helical elements and three loops (D, anti-codon, and T loops). Further hydrogen bonds mediate the characteristic L-shaped molecular structure. tRNAs have two regions of fundamental functional importance: the anti-codon, which is responsible for specific mRNA codon recognition, and the 3' end, to which the tRNAs corresponding amino acid is attached (by aminoacyl-tRNA synthetases). tRNAs cope with the degeneracy of the genetic code in two manners: having more than one tRNA (with a specific anti-codon) for a particular amino acid; and 'wobble' base-pairing, i.e. permitting non-standard base-pairing at the 3rd anti-codon position. The record is from RNAcentral. Lineage: Eukaryota; Viridiplantae; Streptophyta; Magnoliopsida; Alismatales; Araceae.